This 486-nucleotide ribosomal RNA is filed under the name uncultured Coxiellaceae bacterium. Its description in RNAcentral is "bacterial SSU rRNA". It matches the Rfam family "Bacterial small subunit ribosomal RNA", at positions 30 to 505 of the family's 1533-position model. Lineage: Bacteria; Pseudomonadati; Pseudomonadota; Gammaproteobacteria; Legionellales; Coxiellaceae. The record is from RNAcentral.
AUUGAACGCUAGCGGCAUGCUUAACACAUGCAAGUCGAACGGCAGCGCGAGGAGCUUGCUCCUUGGCGGCGAGUGGCGGACGGGUGAGUAACGCGUAGGAACCUACCUGAUAGAGGGGGAUAACUCGAGGAAACUCGGGCUAAUACCGCAUAAUCUCUACGGAGCAAAGCGGGGGAUCUUCGGACCUCGUGCUAUCAGAUGGGCCUGCGUUGGAUUAGCUUGUUGGUGGGGUAAAGGCCUACCAAGGCGACGAUCCAUAGCUGGUCUGAGAGGACGAUCAGCCACACUGGGACUGAGACACGGCCCAGACUCCUACGGGAGGCAGCAGUGGGGAAUAUUGGACAAUGGGGGCAACCCUGAUCCAGCAAUGCCGCGUGUGUGAAGAAGGCCUUAGGGUUGUAAAGCAUUUUCAGUGGGGAAGAAAGGCUCAAGAUUAAUACUCUUGAGAGUUGACAUUACCCACAGAAGAAGCACUGGCUAACUCUG